Non-coding RNA from Aegilops tauschii subsp. strangulata, 1237 nucleotides. The record is from RefSeq and is a predicted model, not a curated record. Lineage: Eukaryota; Viridiplantae; Streptophyta; Magnoliopsida; Poales; Poaceae.
UCUACCAAGUUAUCCUUCCCAAAAGGUUACUUUAGUGGAUAGAUUAUUUAUAAUUAUUACUACUAAGCAAGACAAAAUUACUAAAUGUCUAAGUUGCGUACUACUUUGUGCAGAAAUUUGUCAGUCAACCGUCUGAAUGGCUCGCUUCCAGAUUCCCUCUGUAAAAAUAAUGCAGGAUCUUACGUUUUCAGGUUUGGGUUUUCCUGUUAACCUUUUUUUCUAUUAAUAUGCGUCCAAAUGUGAAAUGUGGAGUGUUCUUCUUUCUGCGAUCUUACACAUGUACGGAUGUAACAAAUUUAAGAUUGUCUUCCACACCAAAUACUCUGAACUGAUUGUAGUAAGUAAUUUAAGGUAUGAAUCUGAUCAAGACAUGUGCAACCAAACAAUUAGCCCGUCUUCAUCGAGAAAUAGAACAUCUAUCAUAUCUAUUUCAGUAUUGGUUCCUGCACUGGUAGUGGCUGUACUUGUCAUUUCAUAUCUGGUCUGGAGGCAGAAAAGAAAGCCUAACAGUGAGUGUGCUCUUAUGGUCUUAUCUUCUAUAACAUGUAUCAAUGGGGAUUAUCAUGGUUUACCAUAUUUAGUAUUUAUGUUAUAUCUAUCAUUUGCACGACCAGUUUCUACUCGUGAUCCUGCCACAGGCAGAACUUGUGGGAGCUCCAGUUAGUAGGAAAGGUCACAGGGAGCACCUGGAAAAUACUGAGAAUCGCCGAUUCACAUACAAGGAGUUGGAGAAGUUUACAAAUAAGUUUGAAAGGUUCAUUGGACAAGGAGGUUUUGGGCUUGUAUACUAUGGUCGUUUAGAAGACAAUACUGAGGUUGCUGUCAAGAACUCAAGAUGCGUUGAAAGGUUCAUUGGACAAGGAGGUCUUGGGCUUGUAUACUAUGGUCGUUUAGAAGACAAUACUGAGGUUGCUGUCAAGAUGUGUUCUGAGUCCUCGUCACAUGGACCCGAUGAGUUCUUAGCUGAGGUUCAGAGCUUGACAAAGGUGUAUCACAGGAAUCUAGUAUCAUUGGUUGGUUUCUGCUGGGAGAAAGAUCAUUUGGCACUGGUUUAUGAGUACAUGUCUCAAGGCAAUCUUUAUGAUCAUCUGAGAGGUUUGUCCAUUGCAAACGUAACCACUGAUUACGUGAUUAAGAGAGAACAACUGUGUAGCGGUCUCAGAUCGCAUACAAUUUCUGUGCAUUGUUCAAGACAUUGUCUCAAUUCCGAAGUAGUUUUCGGCUAUCUACGUCUCUA